AGGCAGGAUCUGAAGAAGCGCCAGUUUUUGGGAGAAAUCGUGAAUGUAAACUCUACCCCUCCCAACCAGUUUUCCCCUCAGCUCCUCUCGCCUCCCUCUCUGCUCCAGCAAGCCCCGCCCACAAACAGACACUCCUGCUCGCUCAUGUCGUUUCAAUUACAUUCAGAUAUAAUGCAGAUAAUUACAAAUGGGGCCCAGUCAACGUGAAAGUAAAAAGCAUCGGUGCUACUGUAGAUGCCAACAGACUACCAGCAAACACGAUGUUUGCAGAACUUCUACAACUAGGAUAAAGUGACAUAGUCCAGGACCCGAGGUCAACAGUUCAGCGGCGUUACAACACACAGCAGGUCUCGUUUGACAAGAAACACUUCUGUUACAGACACUUGGCUUACUUUGUUAAAGCGGUUUACCUGUCCAGCAGAAAGGUUACGUAGGGUUCGUAAGAUCCCGAAGCGUCCCCCAUUUUAGGCUUUUUAGCUCUUGUCCGGUCUACCUCUGUUUUAAGCGCCCAUUAUUUCGCACAAGUCACGAGUCAUUUUAUUGCUUGUGUUUUCUGUACUUUCUUGUUGCUUUCUACUGUUCGAUAUUGUAGCACGCUAUCUUUGUUUGGUCUCGUACACGUUAUUCAAGGAUGUGGAGCGUUCCUCACAACCAAUCAGGUUGGGGGAGGCGGAGAAAAAGUGAGAAAAAGCGGGCCGCUCAAAAAAUUUUAAAUGUUGACUACGCAGACAUAACAAAACACAGCGAUAUCAUUGUAUUACCAAAUGUCAUUAAUAACUAAUAGUUAUGGACUGAUAUUAAAAGCUUUUUUGUAUACACCUUUAAGUUUUAAGUUAUUCACAAAGGCAAAUAAGCACAGUUUAUAAUCAUGGCAGAACUAUUUUUAAAAACAAUGAAUGCAUGGUUAAUAUGGUUUAAAAGUAAUGGGUAAGUGGUUUCCAAUAUAGUAACUUGUUAGUCAAAGACAUGAAUAAAUGGUUGGAAUAAAUUGCAAAAAAGAGAAACUGAAAUAAUCUUCCCCAAAGUUUUGGAAAGUCUUUCAUGACUUAAAACAUUGAGUUUUACUGUGAUGUCAGGGUCCAUCACCCUGACACCACAGAGCACAGACGCUUUACCAAACCAACUUCUACAUUCGACCAUUUUGUAAAAUCAGUCUAUUCUAAUAACAACUGCUUUAACAUCUCACUUUAUAUUAACUUAGUGUUGUAGGUGGUGAAGAGAUUCUUGAUUUCUUUGCAGUUGGGUUGAGAGGGUGAGGCAAAAACAUAUCGGUAAGUAACCCCUCCUAAUCCUGCUGUUUCUGAGUUGUUUUCAGGGAUAUUUUUGGUUUCUCCUGUGUUGCAUUUUUAGCUCCCUGAAAACUGUUGGGUUCAAGUUUUUUUUUUUUUUUUAAUGCUGAACACUGAUGUCAAAAAAUACCUCCUGGAUCUAUGACUAGGGUGGGACCUCGUUGCUCUGUCUGAGGAGGAGUAGACUUGUCACUUUGAAUUCAGUCUUGCAACUUUCAGCAGCACAGCAUUCAGUGUGAUCUUUAUUUUUAGCUCAGGAGCUCAAUGCAUAUAUCAGCACUGUACUGCGCAAGCACUGACACCCUCUCAUGCUCUCAUUCACAAGAAUCUCUUCAUAGUGUGUGUGUGUGUGUGUGUGUGUGUGUGAGAGAGAGAGAGGGAGAACGAGAGUGAGGGAGUGUGUGUGCGCACACAGGGAGGCAGGUCUUGGCUAAAGUUUAUUAACUUUCUCUUAGCCAAUGGGGCGCUUUGUGCGUUUUUCUUGCUGACCAAUGGGACAGAUUGAGAGGUUGGAGGUGGGUGUUGCUUAGCAACUGCAGGUAGAAUCUCAGAUCAUGUUGGACCCAUUGUUUUAUCUUGCCUCCCUGAGAGACAUAACAUGCUAUGUGUUGUGAUUUGUUAGUAAAAUAAAAAAAGAAAGCCUCAGUGCAAAUGCGUCACAAAGUUGUUAACUCUAUUUUUAUAUUGUUAAACAAAGAUCACAGUAACUUAAAUGGCUUUUUGCCCUUGAGUCAGAGCACUUUUAAUUGAUGGUUAUUACGUUACUGCGUGUCUCAUUUUCAUUGCAGAGUCACUGAAGCUCAUACAAGUGAAUUUGGAUUAAAUUAAUGUAUUUAAACCCUCGGUUAAAGGGAUUACCACCUUUGCUGAAACCUCGUGCAGAGUCAGAGGUGAGUGCUUACAAACAAAAACAACAGACAGGGCUGCUGAUUGCAAAAAUUCCAUGUGAAGAUUUCCUUUUGAAGCAUCUGAAAUAUUGAACCCUAUGUGCCCCUAGACACCACCACAUUAACACACACAUACACAAAGCACUGAUGCAACCAAUUAUGACUUAAUUAUAUUUCUGAUUCAAGAAACCUUGAGUGUUGGCCUCAGUGUGAUUGAGAGCGUGUUUUGUGGUUUUUGAAGGGUCUUUUUAUUUGUGCUUGGCCACAAAUGCAGAAGCUGACUACCACGAACAAAUAUAGGUAUAUGAUCCUACCUACAAUGUUCCUGACUGCCUCAAAGCAGCACGUCACAGCUGUGAACUUUUCAGCCCCUGUCUAAUUAGAUGACCUGAUAUCUUACAGCAAUAUGUCACUGUGGAACGACUCGCAGAGAGUUGACCAGCGGUACUGUCUGUCCUUUUACCCUAAUGGUGUCACUUUGGUCGAACCUUGGUUAGCCUAAACUUAUGUGAGUCACCUUUAAUUAUACAUGCUUAUGAUGCGCACGCUGCAGACUGUGUGUGUGUAUGUGGAAAUGCAUAUAAAGAUCAUUAAUACCUCACUUGAAAAAGGUGCUUUAAACUUGUAACGAGCAGCCUUGGUGACCAUUAUUCCAAGCUCCUCCACACUUCUCUUUAGGGCGGCACUGAUUUUGAUCAUUUUGAAAAGCUGUAAAACGAUAUAGUCUGUGUUCUUUAAAGUCCCACACCGAUCUUUUUUUAUUUUUGUUACUACUUAAAGUGUUCUCAGUGGUCUUUAAAUUGUGGUUAUGAAGUUUUUUCCUGUGUCAUUUUCAAGAGCUUUUCUUCUGCAGAGCUCGAGUAGCUCACUAACAAUCGCCUCUGAGUCAUUGGUGGAGACAGCGCUGCUCUGCGCACUUGUCUUCACGUUAGCUUGCAGCCUAACAUUGCCGGUGUAGUAGACGUAGCAGGUAAAAUAGGAGCAGGACAUGAUGAAAGCCAACAUCAUAGUUAGCUUUUUUACAAGCAUAGCAAUCGGCUAACGACACGCUUGUUCUGCGAUCAUCCUCUGUAUUUUUCCUCUAUAUGCCGAGUGUGGCCUGCAUAGCGGGGCUCCGGGGGCGGAGCUUGGAUUGGUUACAUAUGAAAUCUCACUGUUUCUGAACCUGCCGUUUUGGUCUGCCUGAGAUUCACAGCGAGUUGAAUCUAGAAAUACUCAGAAAAGCAAUUUCACGUUUAGUUGUCUCAUGAUAUGUCCUGUAGCAUCAGAAAAAUACCAUAUGAACGUAUAGAAAACAAGAAAAACAUGAUUUUCAUCAGAAUGGGUCUUUAAGUGUGCUGUGAUAAAGAAACAAAAUUUUGGCGCUCAGUCAAAAAUGUAGUAGUCAUUACAUGAGGUAGAAGUAAGUUGCUUUUACUCAUUGCCCUGCCGUGCUUAGCUUGAUGCAAAUACUCAAAAAGGGGUUAUGGAAAUUCCUGGGAUGCACCCUGGAUUUGUCAUGUAAAGCAGGGCUAGGGACAUGUUGUUUGCAGCCUGAAUAUUCGAGUCCAGUACAUCCAGCAUUGGAAAGCAAAGGGAGAGACAUGAGUGUAAAAUAGAUAUUAGACAUAGAUUCAUACAUACAAACUUGGAGAACAUUUGGGAGAUACGUUCACUCAAAACGCAGUCUGGUUUAAUGACUCUAGAUAAGGUAAGAACCUGUUAAGAAAUCUAAACUGCUGUUAAAUUAAGUUUUUGAUCACCUGAAUUUUCAGUUGAAAAGAAAAAGUGGUUCAUUUAAAAAAAAAAAUAAACAGCUAAGAUUGGUGCCGACUAUUUCAUUUGAAACAUUUGGUUCUGCUCUCUUGGAAAUCAAUCUUGAUGGCCUAACACCCUUUUUAACUGUUUUCUAUUUUCCACUUAACCUCUUAUCAAUAACUUUUGAAUCAACGGAUCAUUAGCAGAUUUUUCAUGUUUUUCAUCAGAAACAUGUCCUUUUUUUUUUUUUUAAAGGGUGUCUAAUUUUGUCUGUGGAAACAAGAGAAAAGUAGAAUAGAUGUUGGUUAAAGACAUCCAUCUUAAAGGACAACAUUUAAGACAUCGCAGAAAAAACUAGAUUAGACACACUGCAGACACCAAAGAGAAGCUUAUAUACUCAACAACUACAGCAGACACCAACUAUACAGAGCGCUUUAUUACGUCUUUAUCACCAUCAUUUCUCACCUCCCUGUUUGAAUGUUUUAAUAUUCUCCAUUUUGUUCAGUAAACAAGUUCAGUGGGAAUGCGGGAGCACACACACACCUGGCUCCCUUUAUCAAUACAUGGCUGACUGUUGGCAGGACCUUGUGCAGUGGUUAUUGUGGGGGAGGGGUGAGAUUUACAGUUGUGAAACAAUGUGACAUAAAAUCAGUACAGCUGUGAUGGCUCAGCAGUGUCCUUUGCUCCUUUACAAUCUCCUCCAGGAGUUUAUCCGAUGCCCACCUCAAAUGUACUGUAUGUAGCCUGAGGAUGACUCAUCCUCAGGAGAAUGAGCUGUAUGGCGCAGGUAGCCUUGCAAAUAAACAUUUCACGAUUUGCAGAGUCUACUGAAGUACUUUGCUGACUUACAGAGCAAACCCACAGACCACAUACACAGACCGUGACAAACGGAUGCUGUUUUAUUUUGCCUGAAAACCACUCAGGGUGAAAUCUCCGUCUGUGUUGUGCCUUUUGUGUCACACCAAAAACACAUGACGAUUCAUCACUUAAGGCUACGCACUAGAAUAUUUAGCCUUUUCCCUUUUGAAAGAGAAAAUUUGUCAUCAUUGCACCAAUUACCAUGGAGACAGGGUUUAGUCCCAAACCUACCGGAAUUAUACCGUGCAUGAGUGUACUCAUUACACCUCACUGCAACUUCCAGGAAAGACUGCACAGUGCGUGGACGUGUGACUCCACCUCUUAAGGAUGGUUAGGGAAUAUGCAGUCAUUCAAAUAAUCUUCGUUUCCCAGCAGGCUUUCACACCUGUUCCUUUCAAAUGUUGUGUGAAUCUGCGUAUGUCAAGUUUGCUUUUUCAUCUAGUUGCUUUAUUAUUCAUGGCAUUAAAGGUAUAUACCGGUUUAAAAUUAAGUUAGGGUCAAACACACCCCCUCGAGAGAUGAAUGUUGCCGACAGCUUGCUUCUCUAGUUAUACCAACUUUAGUAAUGAAGCAGAUAGCAAUACAGAGAGCCACACACUCAACCAAAGCGCCACUCUAUAGC
Non-coding RNA from Xyrichtys novacula (pearly razorfish), 5393 nucleotides. The record is from the annotation of a GenBank genome assembly. Lineage: Eukaryota; Metazoa; Chordata; Actinopteri; Labriformes; Labridae.